Drosophila hydei is the source of this 352-nucleotide long non-coding RNA. RefSeq lists it as uncharacterized. The record is from RefSeq and is a predicted model, not a curated record. NCBI's taxonomy places the organism in Eukaryota, Metazoa, Arthropoda, Insecta, Diptera, Drosophilidae. The transcript has 2 exons.
AAAAAAUUAAGGUUAAGUUGAAGUUAUAUAUUUUUCAAAUUGGUAUCAAUACAUUUACUCUAACAAUCUGCUCUCUACUACCAUUACAUAAGAAGAUGGAGUAUCUUUGGUCGAGCUGUAUUUUUCAAUGAAAACGUGAUGAAGAAGGAAGAUGUACAAGAUGUCCUCACGUCAAGGAAUAGUUCCUUUCAAUAAGUGAUCCGUACAAGUACAAGUGAGAGGUAAAGAUCGAGGCAACACCACCAAGCCAUUCUCUAUUGAGGAGACCCACCCCUUAUUACAUGCCUCACCCACAUCCAGAGUAUCCUCACGUCCAGGAAUUGUUACAUUUUAAUAUGUGAUCAAGAAGAAG